GUGGCUGUAGCUCAGUUGGUAGAGUUCCGGAUUGUGAUUCCGGUUGUCGUGGGUUCGAGCCCCAUCAGCCACCCCA
This 76-nucleotide transfer RNA is filed under the name Aeromonas salmonicida. RNAcentral's name for it is "tRNA-His". It matches the Rfam family "tRNA". Rfam says of the family: Transfer RNA (tRNA) molecules are approximately 80 nucleotides in length. RNAcentral also lists the same sequence under 1 other name. The record is from RNAcentral. Lineage: Bacteria; Pseudomonadati; Pseudomonadota; Gammaproteobacteria; Aeromonadales; Aeromonadaceae.